AGAGUUUGAUCCUGGCUCAGGACGAACGCUGGCGGCGUGCCUAACACAUGCAAGUCGAGCGAUGAAACCUUUCGGGGUGGAUUAGCGGCGGACGGGUGAGUAACACGUGGGUAACCUACCUCAAAGAGGGGGAUAGCCUCCCGAAAGGGAGAUUAAUACCGCAUAACAUUAGUUUUUCGCAUGAAGAACUAAUUAAAGGAGUAAUCCGCUUUGAGAUGGACCCGCGGCGCAUUAGCUAGUUGGUGAGGUAAAGGCUCACCAAGGCGACGAUGCGUAGCCGACCUGAGAGGGUGAUCGGCCACAUUGGAACUGAGAUACGGUCCAGACUCCUACGGGAGGCAGCAGUGG
Molecule: ribosomal RNA, 348 nt
Filed under: uncultured bacterium
Lineage: Bacteria
Description: bacterial SSU rRNA
Rfam family: Bacterial small subunit ribosomal RNA
Source: RNAcentral